CCUACGGGUGGCAGCAGUAGGGAAUCUUCCACAAUGGGCGAAAGCCUGAUGCAGCAACGCCGCGUGGGUGAAGAAGGUCUUCGGAUCGUAAAACACCGUUGUUAAAGAAGAAAGUGCGUGAUAGUAACUGUUCACGUUUCUACGUUAUAUAACCAGAAAGCCACGGCUAACUACGUGCCAGCAGCCGCGGUAAUACGUAGGUGGUAAGCGUUAUCCGGAUUUAUUGGGUGGAAAGGGCACGCAGGCGGUCUGUUAGGUCUGAUGUGAAAGCCCUCGGCUUAACCGGGGUAGUGCAUGGGAGAAUGGGAGACUUGAGUGCAGAAGGGGAGACUGGAAGUCCAUGUGUAGCGGUGAAAGGCGUAGAUAUAUGGAAGAACACCAGUGGCGAAAGCGGCUCUCUGGGCUGUUACUGACGCUGAGGUUCGAAAGCGUGGGUAGCAAACAGGAUUAGAUACCCCUGUAGUC
Molecule: ribosomal RNA, 465 nt
Filed under: uncultured bacterium
Lineage: Bacteria
Description: partial 16S ribosomal RNA
Rfam family: Bacterial small subunit ribosomal RNA
Source: RNAcentral